GAUGAACGCUGGCGGCGUGCCUAAUACAUGCAAGUCGAGCGAACGGACGAGAAGCUUGCUUCUCUGAUGUUAGCGGCGGACGGGUGAGUAACGCGUGGAUAACCUACCUAUAAGACUGGGAUAACUUCGGGAAACCGGAGCUAAUACCGGAUAAUAUUUUGAACCGCAUGGUUCAAAAGUGAAAGACGGUCUUGCUGUCACUUAUAGAUGGAUCCGCGCUGCAUUAGCUAGUUGGUAAGGUAACGGCUUACCAAGGCAACGAUGCAUAGCCGACCUGAGAGGGUGAUCGGCCACACUGGAACUGAGACACGGUCCAGACUCCUACGGGAGGCAGCAGUAGGGAAUCUUCCGCAAAGGGCGAAAGCCUGACGGAGCAACGCCGCGUGAGUGAUGAAGGUCUUCGGAUCGUAAAACUCUGUUAUUAGGGAAGAACAUAUGUGUAAGUAACUGUGCACAUCUUGACGGUACCUAAUCAGAAAGCCACGGCUAACUACGUG
RNAcentral lists this ribosomal RNA (497 nucleotides) under uncultured bacterium. Its description in RNAcentral is "partial 16S ribosomal RNA". It matches the Rfam family "Bacterial small subunit ribosomal RNA", at positions 28 to 507 of the family's 1533-position model. The record is from RNAcentral.